RNAcentral lists this ribosomal RNA (483 nucleotides) under uncultured bacterium. RNAcentral's name for it is "partial 16S ribosomal RNA". It matches the Rfam family "Bacterial small subunit ribosomal RNA", at positions 30 to 506 of the family's 1533-position model. The record is from RNAcentral.
AUUGAACGCUGGCGGCAGGCCUAACACAUGCAAGUCGAGCGGAUGAAGGGAGCUUGCUCCUGGAUUCAGCGGCGGACGGGUGAGUAAUGCCUAGGAAUCUGCCUGGUAGUGGGGGAUAACGUCCGGAAACGGGCGCUAAUACCGCAUACGUCCUGAGGGAGAAAGUGGGGGAUCUUCGGACCUCACGCUAUCAGAUGAGCCUAGGUCGGAUUAGCUAGUUGGUGGGGUAAAGGCCUACCAAGGCGACGAUCCGUAACUGGUCUGAGAGGAUGAUCAGUCACACUGGAACUGAGACACGGUCCAGACUCCUACGGGAGGCAGCAGUGGGGAAUAUUGGACAAUGGGCGAAAGCCUGAUCCAGCCAUGCCGCGUGUGUGAAGAAGGUCUUCGGAUUGUAAAGCACUUUAAGUUGGGAGGAAGGGCAGUAAGUUAAUACCUUGCUGUUUUGACGUUACCAACAGAAGAAGCAGCGGCUAACUUCGU